This 22-nucleotide microRNA is filed under the name Ptychodera flava. RNAcentral's name for it is "Pfl-Mir-252-P1_3p* (star (passenger))". The record is from RNAcentral. Lineage: Eukaryota; Metazoa; Hemichordata; Enteropneusta; Ptychoderidae.
ACCUGCUGCCCACUGCUUAACA